Molecule: ribosomal RNA, 253 nt
Filed under: uncultured bacterium
Lineage: Bacteria
Description: partial 16S ribosomal RNA
Rfam family: Bacterial small subunit ribosomal RNA
Source: RNAcentral
UACAGAGGGGGCAAGCGUUGUUCGGAAUUACUGGGCGUAAAGGGCGCGUAGGCGGCCUUCUAAGUCGAACGUGAAAUCCCCGGGCUCAACCCGGGAACUGCGUCCGAUACUGGGAGGCUUGAAUCCGGGAGAGGGAUGCAGAAUUCCAGGUGUAGCGGUGAAAUGCGUAGAUAUCUGGAGGAAUACCGGUUGCGAAGGCGGCAUCCUGGACCGGCAUUGACGCUGAGGGGCGAAAGCCAGGGGAGCAAACGGG